UACAGCCACAUCACGUUGAAAUACAGGUUCUCAUACGAUCGCUGAAGUUAAGCAGCAUCGAGCCUAGCCAGUACCCAGAGGGGUGAACGCCUAGGAAUUCUACUUAAUGU
Acanthosepion pharaonis is the source of this 110-nucleotide non-coding RNA. The record is from the annotation of a GenBank genome assembly. Lineage: Eukaryota; Metazoa; Mollusca; Cephalopoda; Sepiida; Sepiidae.